UCCGUAUCAUAUUAACAAUAUAAAUCAACGAUUUAUCUCCAAAAAUUUAAGCUAUAUAUAAAGAACGGUGUCUUAAAUAUUUUAUAUUUUAUAUUCAAUACUCUUUUUGGGUUGAAAUUGUUUCACAGCUCAGAAUCUUCUUAUUAAAUACCAAGUUAAAAUAAUAUAUAAUAAUUAUUUUUCUGUAAAAGUUUAAGAAACUGAAAAAAUGGUAUUUGAAGUAUUUAUAUUCAACAAAUGCGCUUUCUAUAUAAAUUUAAUGAAUUGGCAAAAAUUUGUAGUGUUUUGAAUUGUUUGCAAAAAUCAGUUAAGUACCUACAAAAACAGAAUUUUGGACGCACUCUUCAUUCCAUUGGAAUCAAAUGUAGAUUGCAUUCUAAUAAAAUAAUCAGUCACCAGAAUCUAUUUCUUUUAAAAUUAUUAAGUUAUCUGUUUCGUAGAAAUAAACUCAGCAAGAAAUAUGAAAUAAUUAUAAAGUAAUUAGAGUUCGAAUUUGAGAUCUCAUAUACCAAUAAUCAAGUGGUUAGUGAUUUGGGCGCGCGAGAUACGAUGGGUUUUUCUUUUAUUAUUAUUAUUAUUUUGAUAA
Molecule: long non-coding RNA, 586 nt
Filed under: Ananas comosus (pineapple)
Lineage: Eukaryota; Viridiplantae; Streptophyta; Magnoliopsida; Poales; Bromeliaceae
Description: long non-coding RNA (ACOM_LNC021821)
Source: RNAcentral